GACGAACGCUGGCGGCGUGCCUAAUACAUGCAAGUCGAGCGGACGUUGUUGAAGCUUGCUUCAACAACGUUAGCGGCGGACGGGUGAGUAACACGUGGGCAACCUGCCUUAACGGCUGGGAUAACUCCGGGAAACCGGGGCUAAUACCGGAUAACAUCUAGCACCUCCUGGUGCCAGAUUAAAAGAGGGCCUCUGGCUCUCACGUUAAGACGGGCCCGCGGCGCAGUAGCUAGUUGGAGAGGUAACGGCUCCCCAAGGCGACGAUGCGUAGCCGACCUGAGAGGGUGAUGGGCCACACUGGGACUGGGGCACGGCCCAGACUCCUACGGGAGGCAGCAGUAGGGAAUCUUCCGCAAUGGACGAAAGUCUGACGGAGCAACGCCGCGUGAGUGAUGAAGGGUUUCGGCUCGUAAAGCUCUGUUAUGAGGGAAGAACAAGUGCCGUUCGAAUAGGGCGGCACCUUGACGGUACCUCAUCAGAAAGCCACGGCUAACUACGUGCCAGCCGCCGCCGUAA
This 516-nucleotide ribosomal RNA is filed under the name uncultured bacterium. RNAcentral's name for it is "partial 16S ribosomal RNA". It matches the Rfam family "Bacterial small subunit ribosomal RNA", at positions 28 to 523 of the family's 1533-position model. The record is from RNAcentral.